CCCUUAGAUGUUCGGGGCCGCACGCGCGCUACACUGAUGCAUGCAACGAGUUUAUAACCUUGGCCUGAAAGGUCUGGGUAAUCUUUUGAACGUGCAUCGUGAUAGGGAUAGAUUAUUGCAAUUGUUAAUCUUGAACGAGGAAUUCCUAGUAAACGCGAGUCAUCAGCUCGCAUUGAUUACGUCCCUGCCCUUUGUACACACCGCCCGUCGCACCUACCGAUUGAAUGGUUCGGUGAAGAUCUCGGACUUCGAUAUUUAUUCUUUAUUGAGUUUAUAUUGUGGGAAGUUAUCUAAACCUCAUCAUUUAGAGGAAGGUGAAGUCGUAACA
RNAcentral lists this ribosomal RNA (328 nucleotides) under uncultured eukaryote. RNAcentral describes it as "partial 18S ribosomal RNA". It matches the Rfam family "Eukaryotic small subunit ribosomal RNA", at positions 1470 to 1796 of the family's 1831-position model. The record is from RNAcentral.